This is a long non-coding RNA of Homalodisca vitripennis (glassy-winged sharpshooter), 2086 nucleotides long. RefSeq lists it as uncharacterized. The record is from RefSeq and is a predicted model, not a curated record. The transcript is spliced from 2 exons. NCBI's taxonomy places the organism in Eukaryota, Metazoa, Arthropoda, Insecta, Hemiptera, Cicadellidae.
UGGAAAAAGGUUGAACUUAAAAUUUUCCUUCAUAAAAAUGGCGACACCCCCUCCUUUGGAGAGUUGUCUACAGAAUGCGUUGGCCAAAGUGAAAUUUGGAAUUUUGCAGAGGGCAACGUUUCUGUCGGUGAAACCGUUUUCGGUCACAACGAGGAUAUCUGUUUUUCGUCCUCACAAAUGAGUUGCAGUUCCUCCAGUUUGUUUCUCGCUGAUUGGGCGUUUUGGUGAAGCAGUCGGACUGAAUUGUUUUGAUUAAGAAAUUUUGAAGUGGUUGUUUGUUUUGAUGGAGAGGUGUCUGUCAAUUUAGUCUGUUGUUGGCAAGUGGAGUCCCUAAAAAAACAGUUUGGUGUGAAAUGUUUGCAUCAUGCAGUUGUGUUUGUGGAGGCGCAGGCUGUCCCGGACCUCCCGGUGUAGAAGGUACUCUGACCACCUCCGCGUACGUGAGUAGCUGGAGACCAGAUGACCGCCGAGGGGCAAAACAGAAUUCCUUGUGAGUAGCAGCAGACGUCGGCAAGAUGGGGGGAGAGACGGCCACUGCUGGGGCAGUAACUAGGAGUGGUGGUGGAGAACGCGUCUCAAGUCUUGCACCGGCAGAACCCGGGAGUACGAGGCCGCCCACGAUCAUCCUCGCCAGUAGUUUCUUGCUCCGCAUUGAAAGAUGCUGACCGUGUCUCGUGAAAUACCUACGGCCGAUGUCAUUGAAGUUUAUGACACGGAUGUUGUGUCGGAUUGCCAGUUCUUCAAUGUAGGCAUUCACGAGCACGGUCUCAUCGUGGAUAGGGUGGUUUGGUUUCAGAUCGUGACGGCGUGGAAGGGUGGUUAGAACGAUCUCGGUGUCUUUUGAUCGGGACGUGAUGUAUGUCUCUAGGUGACGGUAGAUAUUUUGCUGCUUGCCCACUGCCAGGUCAUUGGUGCCAGCGAUAAACACCUCACAGCGCGUUCCGGGUCGAGGGGAUGUUUGGUCCGAGUUUAUAACGUCAAGCAACUUUCCGCCUGGCAGACACACGCCAUCAACUGAGGUUCCAGGGGCGGUCAAGUCACUCACCAGUCCAGCGAUGUGACGGGUGUGGCUGUCACCUCUGAUAAUUAUAGAUUUACGAGUAAAAUGAGUGCUAUGAUUUAGAGAAGGUUGCCUGUUAAUGGUGAGAUUUGUUUUUUUCUUAUCUGUUUUUACAUUUUGAGAUGUUUUGUUGGAUUGGCGAUUCGGUGGUAUUUGUUUUUCAUGUGAUAGAAUUUGGAAUUUAUUAUGUAUAGGUAUUGUUAACGAUUGUUUAUUACUUUUGUUGUUUUUAUUUUUAAUUUUAACUUUGGCCCAUUUCUCUUCAGAUUUAAAACUUGAAACCUUGCACGAAGUUUGCUGAUGUUUUAAGCACUGAUUUUCUGCUUCUAGAACUUCUAUGGUCGUUUUCAUGCAGCGAAUAAUCUCAGUGUUUCCGGCACAUCGCGCACACUCGACAGACUGUUCCGAUAGGUCGCACUGCGUACCGAAGUCCGCAGCAGUGGGUGACGGUUCGCACUGGACACCGCAGUCCACCGUCGCGGAAGCGCGGGCGCUCUGGUCGACGCGAGAUUCGUUCACUUGAAAGAUCUGGUCCGUGAACUCAAGCAAACGAGUGUCCGAUUCUAUUGUGUGGUUUAGCAGCUUUUGGUAUUCACUCUGAAGCCGCUCGAUCUCUUUUCUGAGUCGGGAAAUCUCCGCUACCGGAUCUUCAGAUAUUAUGUUGUUUAUGUCUCUUUGUUCUGUUGAACCAGGCGGAUAGUCAGACAGUGAGAGAUCUAAGGCGGGUGUGGAGCAGACGGGCGUUCUACAGCAAUCCAGUACAGGUGGUGUAACCGGCGUAGAAGGCACCGCAGGUAGCGCGGCGGUCGCAGACUGAGACUUCAGUAGUGGUGAUAGGAGGUUUAAUACCCAUCUCCUGCCUACGGCCCGUACGGCUAUCCAUACUACGGAUACUACGGCGGCUAUGAAUACUCUCGGCAAGGCUAUAUCGGCUGCGACUCUGGAUGUAGAUGCAGUGCAUGUAACUCAUGGAUUUGAUCGUAAUGACCAACCGUGUUAUUUAAUUUGAAUAAAAUGUUACUUUAA